RNAcentral lists this ribosomal RNA (513 nucleotides) under uncultured bacterium. RNAcentral's name for it is "bacterial SSU rRNA". It matches the Rfam family "Bacterial small subunit ribosomal RNA", at positions 28 to 527 of the family's 1533-position model. The record is from RNAcentral.
GACGAACGCUGGCGGCGUGGAUUAGGCAUGCAAGUCGAACGGUAUCAUCCUUUCGGGGGUGAGAGAGUGGCGAACUGGUGAGUAACACGUAGGUUAUCUACCCUCAAGACGGGGACAACCCAGGGAAACUUGGGCUAAUACCGGAUGUGAGCAACUUUUAGUUGUUUGAAAGGUGGCGUAAGCUGUCGCUUGGGGAUGAGCCUGCGUCCUAUUAGUUAGUUGGUGAGGUAACGGCUCACCUAGGCAAUGAUAGGUAGGCGGCCUUAACGGGUGGUCGCCCACACUGGGAUUGAGAUACGGCCCAGACUCCUACGGGAGGCAGCAGUCGAGAAUAGUCUACAAUGGUCGGAAGACUGAUAGUGCGACGCCGCGUGAACGAUGAAUCCCUUCGGGGUGUAAAGUUCUUUUAUAUGUGAGCAGUGCUUCUUAUAUUAACAGUAUGGGGAAGAGAUAUUAGCAUAUGAAUAAGGCAACGGCUAAACUCCCGUGCCCAGCCAGCCGCGGUAAGCUCCG